AUGGUCUCCUGGAGAAACUUCCAGGCUGUGUGCUUUUUUUUGCUUCUUAAUCAGAAUACAAUCAGAAAUCGGGAAGGCAGCGCUGUUACAACAGUCGAUGCAUAUGGAAUAUGUACCAGGAAUCUAGAUGGUGCAUUCCCUAUGACUGGAACUACUGUGAACGUGCCCCCAUUCCUUUCAUCCUGCAAGAUCUUGAAUCUGCAAAAUGAACAACAUUGAUGCCAGUACAAGAUGCAAGACUAUAUGGUCAAGCACGGUUCUGAACCUGUCUCCUACCCCUUGUCCUCAGCUGCUCUUCCUGCCUCCACAAACUGUCCACUGUGUGUCCAGCCUUACAGAUCUCAUCGCUUUCCUUCGGUCACGUGGUUACUCUUUGUCCUGGAUCUUCUUCUAACUACUUCACAUUCUCUCAGUGGUUAGAACAGAAACGAUCCAGCUGAGAACUGCUGGAUCACUAGACCAUCAGACAACGUGGUAUCAUUUCUCCCCGGUUCUUCCUCCAGCUAUGAAACAACCUUCCCCAUUCAGAGCUGCCCCAGUCCUAACGCCUUCUUCAGGUGUCUUGUCUGCCU
RNAcentral lists this long non-coding RNA (572 nucleotides) under Capra hircus (goat). RNAcentral's name for it is "lncRNA (ENSCHIG00010005040.1)". The record is from RNAcentral. Lineage: Eukaryota; Metazoa; Chordata; Mammalia; Artiodactyla; Bovidae.